UUUUCUGGAUGUAACGGUUACAACUUAGAGGUUAGUUAUGGAUUUUGUUGCUUUUUUGUUUGAAAACUUGAACACAUUUUUUUUCUUCUUUCCAUUUUCUCCUCUUUCUUUUAUUUCAUCUGACGGUAGAAGUGAAGACCAAUUUUCUUGUUUUGUUUUUUUUGUUUUUUCUAGGUUAAUAAAGUUGAUUCCAUCUUAAACUAAUAAAUUGUAUAUUUUUACGUGUCGUAAUUGUUCAAUUACUUUUCAUUGGAGUUAAGCUAGUGAGAUGUUCAGCUAAGAUGAUGUUAAGUCGGAUAAGGAAAGACUUGCAACAUCAAAGAUAAUUUAUGGGGGUGUUAAAAUUUACACUUU
This 354-nucleotide long non-coding RNA is filed under the name Gossypium raimondii (Peruvian cotton). RNAcentral's name for it is "long non-coding RNA (GRAI_LNC002164)". The record is from RNAcentral. Lineage: Eukaryota; Viridiplantae; Streptophyta; Magnoliopsida; Malvales; Malvaceae.